This 247-nucleotide ribosomal RNA is filed under the name uncultured archaeon. RNAcentral describes it as "partial 16S ribosomal RNA". It matches the Rfam family "Archaeal small subunit ribosomal RNA", at positions 691 to 937 of the family's 1478-position model. The record is from RNAcentral.
CCGACGGUGAGGGGUGAAAGCUGGGGGCACGAACCGGAUUAGAUACCCGGGUAGUCCCAGCCGUAAACGAUGCUCGCUAGGUGUCUGGGAUGGUGCGACCGUUUCAGGUGCCGCAGGGAAACCGUGAAGCGAGCCACCUGGGAAGUACGGCCGCAAGGCUGAAACUUAAAGGAAUUGGCGGGGGAGCACUACAACGGGUGGAGCCUGCGGUUUAAUUGGACUCAACGCCGGAAAACUCACCUGGGGC